Molecule: ribosomal RNA, 351 nt
Filed under: uncultured bacterium
Lineage: Bacteria
Description: bacterial SSU rRNA
Rfam family: Bacterial small subunit ribosomal RNA
Source: RNAcentral
AGAGUUUGAUCAUGGCUCAGGACGAACGCUGGCGGCGCGCCUAACACAUGCAAGUCGAACGAGCGAGAGAGAGCUUGCUUUCUCGAGCGAGUGGCGAACGGGUGAGUAACGCGUGAGGAACCUGCCUCAAANAGGGGGACAACAGUUGGAAACGACUGCUAAUACCGCAUAAGCCCACGGUGCCGCAUGGCACAGAGGGAAAAGGAGCAAUCCGCUUUGAGAUGGCCUCGCGUCCGAUUAGCUAGUUGGUGAGGUAACGGCCCACCAAGGCAACGAUCGGUAGCCGGACUGAGAGGUUGAACGGCCACCAUUGGGACUGAGACACGGCCCAGACUCCUACGGGAGGCAGCA